Molecule: long non-coding RNA, 696 nt
Filed under: Homo sapiens (human)
Lineage: Eukaryota; Metazoa; Chordata; Mammalia; Primates; Hominidae
Description: non-protein coding lnc-EBF3-1:5
Source: RNAcentral
CCCUGGAGGGUCACCCAAGGAAAGAGUUCGUUCCAAAGACAGGUGCUCCUCUGAGUUCCUCUGGAAUCUGGCAAGGUGCCGAGCUUGGACGCAAGGCUUCCAUGAGGCUGUGAAGGAGGUUGCACGGAAACUGGUGGGGAUCUGAAAAGCUUUUAGUGGCCUCGCCACACACAGCACUUCAGAUGCUCAGGUGAUGAGCAACAUUUUCCAAACCCAGCUAGUGAGCACCCCACCUCCUCUGGCUUCCAGAACCUGGUGUGGAGGGCCAGGAGAGGCUUCGGGACUGAAGGGCAGAGCAGCAGACUCCGGGGCUCAUGUAGGAAGGAACAUGCCUUCAGCCAAAGAUUAUCCACGCUGCAUGGAGACUCUUGCUAAAUAUCACUGGUAAAUGCACAAUUAUGUCCCAUUUAGAGAUCUCUAGCAGAGUGUCUUGUGUUUGAUGGAUUUGUCCUGCAUUUAAUUAUAACUUCCUGCUAAAGCUCAGAUGUUUUCUUUCAGGGACAAAUGCAGUGGCUUAAUUUCAUUCAAUCAUUUACUGAGGAUCUGAAAUGCAUGCGGUUAGUGGUGAGAAUACUGACUCAGGGCUGUCCCUUCCUCUGGAGUUGACAGCCGACUGCGCAGGAAGGGAAGGUGAGGGUCAAACACACAGGUCAACAUCAGAAACAGCACUUCCGCCUUCCAUUGGCCCCGAUGUUU